Molecule: ribosomal RNA, 1687 nt
Filed under: Gnathopogon elongatus
Lineage: Eukaryota; Metazoa; Chordata; Actinopteri; Cypriniformes; Gobionidae
Description: 16S ribosomal RNA
Rfam family: Bacterial large subunit ribosomal RNA
Source: RNAcentral
GCCAAACAGCUAGCCUGACCACCAACAUAAACCAGCGAUAUAGAUAACGAAACAUAAAUUUUUAUCAAAAAUUAAACCAUUUUUUUACCUGAGUAUGGGAGACAGAAAAGGUUCAACCCAGAGCAAUAGAAAAAGUACCGCAAGGGAAAGCUGAAAGAGAAAUGAAAUAACCCAUAUAAGCACCAAAAAACAAAGACUAAACCUUGUACCUUUUGCAUCAUGAUUUAGCCAGUACCCUUAAGCAAAGAGACCUUUAGUUUGAAACCCCGAAACCAGGUGAGCUACCCCGAGACAGCCUAAGUAAUUUAGGGCUAACCCGUCUCUGUGGCAAAAGAGUGGGAAGAGCUCCGGGUAGAAGUGACAGACCUACCGAACCUGGUGAUAGCUGGUUGCCUGAGAAAUGGAUAGAAGUUCAGCCCCGUAUGCCCCGUACCAAAAACAUCAUUUUAAGAUUUAGGGAAACUUAUGGGAGUUAGUUAAAGGGGGUACAGCCCCUCUAACAAAGGAUACAACCUUUACAGGAGGAUAAAGAUCAUAAUAUUUAAAACACACUGUUCUAGUGGGCCUAAAAGCAGCCACCUAAACAGAAAGCGUUAAAGCUCAGACAGAAAGAAGUUUAUUAUAAUGAUAAAAAAUCUUAUUCCCCUAAUAGUAUCAGGCUAUUCCAUGCUCACAUGGAAGAGAUUAUGCUAAAAUGAGUAACAAGAAGACUUGAUCUUCUCCAAGCACAAGUGUACACCAGAUCGGACCAACCACUGGAAAUUAACGAACCCAAACAAAGAGAGUAUUGUGAAUUAUAUAAAAACCAGGAAGACCCCACAAUUAAAUAAUCGUUAACCCCACACUGGAGUGCUAUAAAUUAAGGAAAGACUAAAAGAAAGGGAAGGAACUCGGCAAACAUAAGCCUCGCCUGUUUACCAAAAACAUCGCCUCCUGCAAACAAAUUAAGUAUAGGAGGUCCAGCCUGCCCAGUGACUACGGGUUCAACGGCCGCGGUAUUUUGACCGUGCAAAGGUAGCGCAAUCACUUGUCUUUUAAAUAGAGACCUGUAUGAAUGGCUAAACGAGGGCUUAACUGUCUCCCCCUUCCAGUCAGUGAAAUUGAUCUAUCCGUGCAGAAGCGGGUAUAAUUAUACAAGACGAGAAGACCCUUUGGAGCUUAAGGUACAAAAUUCAACCACGUUAAACAACUAAACAAAGAGGGGGAACUUAGUGGGACCUGAAAUUUUACCUUCGGUUGGGGCGACCGCGGAGGAAAAAUCAGCCUCCGAGUGGAAUGGGCCAAAACCCUAAAACCAAGAGAAACAUCUCUAAGCCGCAGAACAUCUGACCAUUAAUGAUCCGGCCAAACAGCCGAUCAACGAACCAAGUUACCCUAGGGAUAACAGCGCAAUCCUCUCCCAGAGUCCAUAUCGACGAGGGGGUUUACGACCUCGAUGUUGGAUCAGGACAUCCUAAUGGUGCAGCCGCUAUUAAGGGUUCGUUUGUUCAACGAUUAAAGUCCUACGUGAUCUGAGUUCAGACCGGAGCAAUCCAGGUCAGUUUCUAUCUGUAACGCUACUUUUCCUAGUACGAAAGGAUCGGAAAAGAGGGGCCCAUACUUAAAGCACGCCCCACCCCUAAUUAAUGAAAACAAAUAAAUUAAAAAAAGGGAGGGCCAAAACCCCUACCGCCCAAAAUAAGGGCAU